This 74-nucleotide transfer RNA is filed under the name Thermoplasmatales archaeon. RNAcentral describes it as "tRNA-Gln". It matches the Rfam family "tRNA". Rfam says of the family: Transfer RNA (tRNA) molecules are approximately 80 nucleotides in length. Their secondary structure includes four short double-helical elements and three loops (D, anti-codon, and T loops). Further hydrogen bonds mediate the characteristic L-shaped molecular structure. tRNAs have two regions of fundamental functional importance: the anti-codon, which is responsible for specific mRNA codon recognition, and the 3' end, to which the tRNAs corresponding amino acid is attached (by aminoacyl-tRNA synthetases). tRNAs cope with the degeneracy of the genetic code in two manners: having more than one tRNA (with a specific anti-codon) for a particular amino acid; and 'wobble' base-pairing, i.e. permitting non-standard base-pairing at the 3rd anti-codon position. The record is from RNAcentral. Lineage: Archaea; Methanobacteriati; Thermoplasmatota; Thermoplasmata; Thermoplasmatales.
AGCUCCGUGGUGUAGUGGCCAAGCAUAACGGGCUCUGGACCCGUCGACGGCAGUUCGAAUCUGCCCGGAGCUAC